This 459-nucleotide ribosomal RNA is filed under the name uncultured Algoriphagus sp. RNAcentral describes it as "bacterial SSU rRNA". It matches the Rfam family "Bacterial small subunit ribosomal RNA", at positions 338 to 795 of the family's 1533-position model. The record is from RNAcentral. Lineage: Bacteria; Pseudomonadati; Bacteroidota; Cytophagia; Cytophagales; Cyclobacteriaceae.
CCUACGGGCGGCUGCAGUAGGGAAUAUUGGGCAAUGGGCGAGAGCCUGACCCAGCCAUGCCGCGUGCAGGAAGACGGCCUAUUGGGUUGUAAACUGCUUUUAUCUGGGAAGAAAAGGCCCAUGCGUGGGACAUUGCCGGUACCAGAUGAAUAAGCACCGGCUAACUCCGUGCCAGCAGCCGCGGUAAUACGGAGGGUGCAAGCGUUGUCCGGAUUUAUUGGGUUUAAAGGGUGCGUAGGCGGCUGAUUAAGUCAGCGGUGAAAGACUCCGGCUUAACCGGGGCAGUGCCGUUGAUACUGGUCAGCUUGAGUGCUGCAGGGGUACAUGGAAUUGAUGGUGUAGCGGUGAAAUGCAUAGAUACCAUCAGGAACACCGAUAGCGAAGGCAUUGUACUGGGCAGCAACUGACGCUGAUGCACGAAAGCAUGGGUAGCGAACAGGAUUAGAUACCCCGGUAGUC